This 1418-nucleotide ribosomal RNA is filed under the name Lactiplantibacillus plantarum. RNAcentral describes it as "bacterial SSU rRNA". It matches the Rfam family "Bacterial small subunit ribosomal RNA". The record is from RNAcentral. Lineage: Bacteria; Bacillati; Bacillota; Bacilli; Lactobacillales; Lactobacillaceae.
UGCAAGUCGAACGAACUCUGGUAUUGAUUGGUGCUUGCAUCAUGAUUUACAUUUGAGUGAGUGGCGAACUGGUGAGUAACACGUGGGAAACCUGCCCAGAAGCGGGGGAUAACACCUGGAAACAGAUGCUAAUACCGCAUAACAACUUGGACCGCAUGGUCCGAGUUUGAAAGAUGGCUUCGGCUAUCACUUUUGGAUGGUCCCGCGGCGUAUUAGCUAGAUGGUGAGGUAACGGCUCACCAUGGCAAUGAUACGUAGCCGACCUGAGAGGGUAAUCGGCCACAUUGGGACUGAGACACGGCCCAAACUCCUACGGGAGGCAGCAGUAGGGAAUCUUCCACAAUGGACGAAAGUCUGAUGGAGCAACGCCGCGUGAGUGAAGAAGGGUUUCGGCUCGUAAAACUCUGUUGUUAAAGAAGAACAUAUCUGAGAGUAACUGUUCAGGUAUUGACGGUAUUUAACCAGAAAGCCACGGCUAACUACGUGCCAGCAGCCGCGGUAAUACGUAGGUGGCAAGCGUUGUCCGGAUUUAUUGGGCGUAAAGCGAGCGCAGGCGGUUUUUUAAGUCUGAUGUGAAAGCCUUCGGCUCAACCGAAGAAGUGCAUCGGAAACUGGGAAACUUGAGUGCAGAAGAGGACAGUGGAACUCCAUGUGUAGCGGUGAAAUGCGUAGAUAUAUGGAAGAACACCAGUGGCGAAGGCGGCUGUCUGGUCUGUAACUGACGCUGAGGCUCGAAAGUAUGGGUAGCAAACAGGAUUAGAUACCCUGGUAGUCCAUACCGUAAACGAUGAAUGCUAAGUGUUGGAGGGUUUCCGCCCUUCAGUGCUGCAGCUAACGCAUUAAGCAUUCCGCCUGGGGAGUACGGCCGCAAGGCUGAAACUCAAAGGAAUUGACGGGGGCCCGCACAAGCGGUGGAGCAUGUGGUUUAAUUCGAAGCUACGCGAAGAACCUUACCAGGUCUUGACAUACUAUGCAAAUCUAAGAGAUUAGACGUUCCCUUCGGGGACAUGGAUACAGGUGGUGCAUGGUUGUCGUCAGCUCGUGUCGUGAGAUGUUGGGUUAAGUCCCGCAACGAGCGCAACCCUUAUUAUCAGUUGCCAGCAUUAAGUUGGGCACUCUGGUGAGACUGCCGGUGACAAACCGGAGGAAGGUGGGGAUGACGUCAAAUCAUCAUGCCCCUUAUGACCUGGGCUACACACGUGCUACAAUGGAUGGUACAACGAGUUGCGAACUCGCGAGAGUAAGCUAAUCUCUUAAAGCCAUUCUCAGUUCGGAUUGUAGGCUGCAACUCGCCUACAUGAAGUCGGAAUCGCUAGUAAUCGCGGAUCAGCAUGCCGCGGUGAAUACGUUCCCGGGCCUUGUACACACCGCCCGUCACACCAUGAGAGUUUGUAACACCCAAAGUCGGUGGGGUAACC